UGGACGCGGAGGAAUUGCCAGGCCCGGAAUCGGAACUGACGCUAAAGCACAGAUAACCUGCUGUCGGCACGCAGAACUCGCCCUUGACGCAGGGAACCCGUUGCCCCGGGGACAGGCACAGCCCAACAGCGCACCUUCCAGGGAGC
Molecule: long non-coding RNA, 146 nt
Filed under: Sus scrofa (pig)
Lineage: Eukaryota; Metazoa; Chordata; Mammalia; Artiodactyla; Suidae
Description: lncRNA (ENSSSCG00070010241.1)
Source: RNAcentral